AAGUCAGAAUCCGGGCCAGAAGCGACGCGUUGUCCGCCGCUCGUUUGCCGACCAGCAGUAGGGGCCCUCCGGCCCCCAAAGGCACGUGUCGUUGGCUAAGCCCUCGCGGCGGACGAGCCGCGCGGGCCGCCUUGAAUUACAAUUUCCACCGGGCGGCGGACUGAAUCCUUUGCAGACGACUUAAAUACGCGACGGGGUAUUGUAAGUGGCAGAGUGGCCUUGCUGCCACGAUCCACUGAGAUUCAGCCCUUCGUCGCUCCGAUUCGU
Molecule: non-coding RNA, 267 nt
Organism: Ricinus communis (castor bean)
Lineage: Eukaryota; Viridiplantae; Streptophyta; Magnoliopsida; Malpighiales; Euphorbiaceae
Source: Rfam